AAAAAGACAAACCGUGGGUUUCCGUGCCAACGUUUGACUGUCCGUCUUAUAUGAAAAAAUUUUAUAAUUAGUAUUUUCAUUGUUGUUAGAUGAUAAAACAUGAUUAAUACUUUAUGCUUGACUUAUCUUUUUAAUUUUUUCAAAUAAGACGGACAGUCAAACGUUGAACACGGAAAUCAGGGUUUAUCUUUUU
This 193-nucleotide microRNA precursor is filed under the name Oryza glumipatula. Its description in RNAcentral is "MIR812 microRNA precursor family". It matches the Rfam family "MIR812 microRNA precursor family". The record is from Rfam by way of RNAcentral. Lineage: Eukaryota; Viridiplantae; Streptophyta; Magnoliopsida; Poales; Poaceae.